This is a long non-coding RNA of Scatophagus argus, 709 nucleotides long. RefSeq lists it as uncharacterized. The transcript is spliced from 3 exons. The record is from RefSeq and is a predicted model, not a curated record. NCBI's taxonomy places the organism in Eukaryota, Metazoa, Chordata, Actinopteri, Scatophagidae.
AACAACGGCAGAGACAACAACAUCUGUUCCAACAACAACAGCUGCAGAAACAACAUCUGUUCCAACAACAAAUGCGGCAACCACACCACUUGCUGUAACAAUAACCCCUGCAUCAACAACAGUAACACAUGUGGCAACAACAACACCUGCUGCAACUGCAGUAACAACAACAGCUGUGACAGUAACACCUUCCACAACAACAACUCAGGCAACAACAACACCUGCUGUGACCACACCUACCAAUCUUGCAACUGCUGCACCAACAGCUGUGGCAUUCACAACAUUAAGGUUGACUUUCAGAUCUCUUCGAAACACAUUUACAAAUGACUUGCGGGAUUCAUCAUCGGCAGCUUUUAGAAAUCUAGCUUCAUUGAUAAAGACACAGCUUGAACCUCAGUUUCAAAUGGCAUUCCCUUCCUCGUUCAAGUCAUUGGACAUAGUGUCAUUCAGAAAUGGAUCGAUUAUCACCGACAUGAACCUCAUUUUUGAAAGCACAUCUGUGCCUAAUGACACAAAUAUCACAAGUACAUUGAUCGAUGCAGCAUCAAACGUCACCAGCUUCGACGUUGAGAGCAGCUCCAUCAAUGUAAAUGUCAUAGGUAAGUAUACAAAAUUGAGCGCUAAUGGAUCAAAAAUUCAAAGACUGUACAACUAUUUGUAAAAUAAAUGUUUUCUCAAAAACAGCAGCAACAACGACACCUAUUGUAAC